UACGUAGGGUGCAAGCGUUGUCCGGAAUUAUUGGGCGUAAAGAGCUCGUAGGCGGUUUGUCGCGUCUGCUGUGAAAACUGGAGGCUCAACCUCCAGCCUGCAGUGGGUACGGGCAGACUAGAGUGCGGUAGGGGAGAUCGGAAUUCCUGGUGUAGCGGUGAAAUGCGCAGAUAUCAGGAGGAACACCGGUGGCGAAGGCGGAUCUCUGGGCCGUAACUGACGCUGAGGAGCGAAAGCAUGGGGAGCGAACAGG
This 253-nucleotide ribosomal RNA is filed under the name uncultured bacterium. Its description in RNAcentral is "partial 16S ribosomal RNA". It matches the Rfam family "Bacterial small subunit ribosomal RNA", at positions 524 to 776 of the family's 1533-position model. The record is from RNAcentral.